RNAcentral lists this ribosomal RNA (500 nucleotides) under uncultured bacterium. Its description in RNAcentral is "partial 16S ribosomal RNA". It matches the Rfam family "Bacterial small subunit ribosomal RNA", at positions 29 to 523 of the family's 1533-position model. The record is from RNAcentral.
AACGAACGCUGGCGGCAGGCCUAACACAUGCAAGUCGAACGGCAGCACGGACUUCGGUCUGGUGGCGAGUGGCGAACGGGUGAGUAAUACAUCGGAACGUGCCCAAUCGUGGGGGAUAACGUAGCGAAAGCUACGCUAAUACCGCAUACGAUCUAAGGAUGAAAGCGGGGGAUCGCAAGACCUCGCGCGAAUGGAGCGGCCGAUGGCAGAUUAGGUAGUUGGUAGGGUAAAGGCCUACCAAGCCGACGAUCUGUAGCUGGUCUGAGAGGAUGAUCAGCCACACUGGGACUGAGACACGGCCCAGACUCCUACGGGAGGCAGCAGUGGGGAAUUUUGGACAAUGGACGCAAGUCUGAUCCAGCCAUUCCGCGUGCAGGAUGAAGGCCCUCGGGUUGUAAACUGCUUUUGUACAGAACGAAAAGGCUCUGGUUAAUACCUGGGGCUCAUGACGGUACUGUAAGAAUAAGCACCGGCUAACUACGUGCCAGCAGCCGCCGUAA